UACGUAGGGGGCAAGCGUUGUCCGGAUUUAUUGGGCGUAAAGAGCUCGUAGGCGGCUCGGUAAGUCGGAUGUGAAACCUCCAGGCUCAACCUGGAGACGCCAUCUGAUACUGCCGUGGCUUGAGUCUGGUAGAGGAGCAGGGAAUUCCUGGUGUAGCGGUGAAAUGCGCAGAUAUCAGGAGGAACACCGGUGGCGAAGGCGGGACUCUGGGCCGAUACUGACGCUGAGGAGCGAAAGCGUGGGGAGCGAACAGG
Molecule: ribosomal RNA, 254 nt
Filed under: uncultured bacterium
Lineage: Bacteria
Description: partial 16S ribosomal RNA
Rfam family: Bacterial small subunit ribosomal RNA
Source: RNAcentral